This 415-nucleotide ribosomal RNA is filed under the name Rana dalmatina (agile frog). RNAcentral describes it as "partial 16S ribosomal RNA". It matches the Rfam family "Bacterial large subunit ribosomal RNA", at positions 690 to 1237 of the family's 2925-position model. Lineage: Eukaryota; Metazoa; Chordata; Amphibia; Anura; Ranidae. The record is from RNAcentral.
GAGCAAAAUGUAAUUUUCAGUUUGACACCCCGAAACCAAGCGAGCUACUUCAGAACAGCCUAAAGGGCCAACCCGUCUCUGUUGCAAAAGAGUGGGAAGAUUCUCAAGUAGAGGUGAUAAGCCUACCGAGCCUGGAGAUAGCUGGUUGUUUAGAAAAAGAGUCUAAGCUCUACCUUAAGUUUCUUUAUUAGACUAAACAAACCCUAAAACUUAAGAGCUAUUCAAAUAAGGCACAGCUUAUUUGAAACAGGGCACAACCUACAACAUAGGGUAAACAAGAGUGCCUCAAACAAAGUGGGCCUAAAAGCAGCCACCUUUAAAAAAGCGUUAAAGCUUACCUACCCCUUACUCACAAUACCAUAAAUCUCAAUUAACCCCUCACCACUACUAAACAAUUUUAUAUUAAUAUAAAAGC